This 912-nucleotide ribosomal RNA is filed under the name uncultured bacterium. RNAcentral's name for it is "bacterial SSU rRNA". It matches the Rfam family "Bacterial small subunit ribosomal RNA", at positions 8 to 916 of the family's 1533-position model. The record is from RNAcentral.
AGAGUUUGAUCCUGGCUCAGGAUGAACGCUAGCGGCAGGCCUAAUACAUGCAAGUCGAGGGGUAACAGGGGAGCUUGCUCCUGCUGACGACCGGCAAACGGGUGAGGAACACGUACACAACCUUCCUUCUAGUGGAGGAUAGCCCAGGGAAACUUGGAUUAAUACUCCGUAAGAUGUUAGGGAGGCAUCUCCCAGACAUUAUAGUAGCGAUACGCUAGAAGACGGGUGUGCGUCUGAUUAGGUAGUUGGCGGGGUAACGGCCCACCAAGCCGACGAUCAGUAACUGGUGUGAGAGCACGACCAGUCACACGGGCACUGAGACACGGGCCCGACUCCUACGGGAGGCAGCAGUAAGGAAUAUUGGUCAAUGGACGAAAGUCUGAACCAGCCAUGCCGCGUGAAGGAUGAAGGUCCUCUGGAUUGUAAACUUCUUUUAUAUGGGACGAAAAAAGGGUUUUCUAACUCUGCUGACGGUACCAUAUGAAUAAGCACCGGCUAACUCCGUGCCAGCAGCCGCGGUAAUACGGAGGGUGCAAGCGUUAUCCGGAUUUACUGGGUUUAAAGGGAGCGUAGGUGGGCUGUUAAGUCAGUGGUGAAAUCCCGGGGCUCAACCUCGGAACUGCCGUUGAUACUAUCAGUCUUGAAUAUUGUGGAGGCUAGCGGAAUAUGUCAUGUAGCGGUGAAAUGCUUAGAUAUGACAUAGAACACCGAUUGCGAAGGCAGCUGGCUACGCAUAUAUUGACACUGAGGCUCGAAAGCGUGGGUAGCAAACAGGAUUAGAUACCCUGGUAGUCCACGCCCUAAACGAUGGAUACUCGACAUUAGCGAUAUACUGUUAGUGUCUGAGCGAAAGCAUUAAGUAUCCCACCUGGGAAGUACGAUCGCAAGAUUGAAACUCAAAUGAAUUGACGG